Molecule: ribosomal RNA, 497 nt
Filed under: uncultured bacterium
Lineage: Bacteria
Description: partial 16S ribosomal RNA
Rfam family: Bacterial small subunit ribosomal RNA
Source: RNAcentral
GACGAACGCUGGCGGCGUGCCUAAUACAUGCAAGUUGAGCGCUGAAGGUUGGUACUUGUACCCACUGGAUGAGCAGCGAACGGGUGAGUAACGCGUGGGUAAUCUGCCUUUGAGCGGGGGACAACAUUUGGAAACGAAUGCUAAUACCGCAUAAAAACUUUAAACACAAGUUUUAAGUUUGAAAGAUGCCAUUGCAUCACUCAAAGAUGAUCCCGCGUUGUAUUAGCUAGGUGGUGAGGUAAAGGCUCACCAAGGCGAUGAUACAUAGCCGACCUGAGAGGGUGAUCGGCCAAAAUGGGACUGAGACAAGGCUCAAACCUCUAAGGGAGGCAGCAGUAGGGAAUCUUCGGAAAUGGACGAAAGUCUGGCCGAGCAACGCCGCGGGAGUGAAGAAGGUUGUCGGAUCGGAAAACUCUGUUGGUAGAGAAGAACGUUGGUGAGAGUGGAAAGCUCAUGAAGUGACGGUAACUAAACAGAAAGGGACGGCUAACUACGUG